Molecule: ribosomal RNA, 353 nt
Filed under: uncultured bacterium
Lineage: Bacteria
Description: bacterial SSU rRNA
Rfam family: Bacterial small subunit ribosomal RNA
Source: RNAcentral
AGAGUUUGAUCCUGGCUCAGGAUGAACGCUAGCUACAGGCCUAACACAUGCAAGUCGAGGGGAAACGACAUCGAAAGCUUGCUUUUGAUGGGCGUCGACCGGCGCACGGGUGAGUAACGCGUAUCCAACCUGCCCACCACUUGGGGAUAACCUUGCGAAAGUAAGACUAAUACCCAAUGACGUCUCUAGAAGACAUCUGAAAGAGAUUAAAGAUUUAUCGGUGAUGGAUGGGGAUGCGUCUGAUUAGCUUGUUGGCGGGGUAACGGCCACCAAGGCUACGAUCAGUAGGGGUUCUGGAGAGGAAGGUCCCCCACAUUGGAACUGAGACACCGGUCAAACUCCUACGGGAGGCA